Molecule: long non-coding RNA, 971 nt
Filed under: Strongylocentrotus purpuratus (purple sea urchin)
Lineage: Eukaryota; Metazoa; Echinodermata; Echinoidea; Camarodonta; Strongylocentrotidae
Description: uncharacterized LOC105437926, transcript variant X1
Source: RNAcentral
CUGUUUUAUUCACCCUGUAUGCUUGUUUAUUGCUUGGCAAAAUAAAUUGAAUUGAAUUGAAUUGAACACUAUAUUUAAUUGCGGUGAUUUGUCGGUUACGAACAGAUAGUCAUGGCAGGCUUCGAUAUUCUAUAAAACUAGAAGCUAUCUUGACAGUACUUCAACAGGAAGCUGGAUAGAGACACUUCGUCACAUCAAGCUACGAGAAAGUAUAUCAUCAUUUCACCGAAAUCUACUCGAACACCGCAUCCAAAUCAGACUUUAAAAAUGGCGUCCAAAACCAUGAUUGCUCUCUACUUUCUGAUUGCCUUGGCCGUGGCAGCAAGUGUUUUAGUCGAGGAAGAUGAGAUCGACAAUUCUAAUGCGUUGAAUGUCGAGAAAAACGUCAAAGGCGUCAAGGAAGAUGAGAUCGACAAUGAUAAUGAGUUGGAUGUCGAGGAAGACAUGCCUUAUACUCCCCGCAGGAGUAGAAUAGGGGAAGAGUAGCUUCGAGAAGAUCGGAAAGUAUACUAGCUGGAUCUUUUCCAUGUGGUCAGACGUCUGCUCUGUUUGUUAAUUGAGACUUUUGUCAAAUUGAUGCGAGAAAAACAAUCAUCGGUGAUCAGUCAUCACUGACCUUAACCCUAACCCCAACGAAUUCAUAACCUUGCCCCUAAAAUAUAAACAUUCAAUAAAUGUAUAUAGUACAAUUUGAAUCUCGAUUCAAAAGGAAAGUAUCAAUAUGCCUACAUGUAGCCCAAUAUAGUUUUGUGUUGACAACAGGUUAGUCAAUUCACUGGAAAUUUGAUUGUUUUGAUAUAAUGCAUUGAAGAGUACAAUAUUGUACAUGUGCUUCAUGUGUAGAUAAAACGUGAAAAUGAAACCAUUGAGGGGUAUACAUUGAUAAGUUGUAAAUUGUCAAAUUUUUAAUCAGCUGCUUUAUUCUCUGACAAACUGUGCACAAAACGGUCUCAUUAAAUGGAAUGACGUAA